Molecule: long non-coding RNA, 2870 nt
Organism: Oncorhynchus keta (chum salmon)
Lineage: Eukaryota; Metazoa; Chordata; Actinopteri; Salmoniformes; Salmonidae
Exons: 2
Source: RefSeq, a predicted model, not a curated record
CUCUGACUCAUACACACACGCGCAUACAUAGACCUGCGCAGUACACUAGCUGUAUGUGUGCUAGAAUAUUGCAUGCUCUCUCCGGGACUAGCAUGAGGAAAACAGGCCUAUCACUUCACACACACAGUCCAUGUCCUAAGGAAGUUAGGAAUUCAUCUGGAUGCUAUUAUAGUUAGUAGGUACAGUACAUUUUGGCAGUGAAAAGUAGUUCCUGUUUAGUCCAGUUCCUCUGUGCUUUCAGGAACAUAGAGUGAGUUUAGAACAGCAGAUCAACGCUCCUUCCAGUUCUCUCACUGGAAUGGGUUGCUUUAGAGAACUAUAGCUGUUUCCUAGCUCCUUAGUUUUUGUUUCCCAAUCGAAAGUGUCCCACGGGUCUGUCCCUACAAGCACACUUAAACUCCUCCAGAUGUUUUCAAAUGAUGGUUUAGAGUGCCAACAGAAAUUCACCUCCACGUCCCAUUCCCUAUCUUCGUCUUUGAAGUCACGCAGAUGAAAACAAGCAUUGGGGGAACUUAUUCUGGGCUCCUAUGAAAUUACCAGUAGGUGUCUUUUCUUGUUUAUCAAAAAAAAAAGUAUCUUUCAACACACUCCUGUUUCAGCCGAUUAGAUACAAGUCAAUGUAAUAAAAUGCUUUUUUAACCCUCAUACUACCAACAUCUUUUACAUACAUGGAUUACCAACUGGGGUCAUGUUGACCCGGAGAAGAAACUAUUGGAAAAAGCAACAAUCAUAGCAAAAUAUCAACAUAUUUCUUAUUAAAACAUUAUUAGUCAUGUAAAUAAUGUGUAUCUGAAAUGAAACAAAAUAGUCAAAACAGAUUGUUAUUCUAGCAAUCAUUUUAAUAUUCUGUAAAACAAAAAUAUAUAUUCCCUUAAAUGAUAUGCAGCUCUUUUUUAGAAGUACAAUCCACAUUUGUACUAAAAAGCUGAUUUACCAUAAUUUGGUUGAAGUAUAAUUUAGUUCUUAGAAUUUUUAAGUAAAUACUAAUUUUGUCAUAUUUGGUCAAAUCGACUCCCAUUUAAGGGGUGGUACACCAACAUUUGAAGUAUUCUUAAUUUGAUUCGUCCAUUGGUCCUGAGAGACAAUGAACAAAAAUAUGGCAUAGUUUUAUUUAUUUAUUUACCUCACAGAUAGCAUUUGCAUCGCUGCUAGUGAAACAAUGGGAGUGGUAAGGCCGUGGUAAGGCCUAUGGCAGGGUGCUUCAAAAAGCAUGCCCAAAUCCUCAAUGUCACGUUAAACCAAAUGUAAACCAAAUGUAGCAACCAAAGUACCAUAACAAGUUGCACAUAUAACAUAUAGUAUAGGAUUUCUGCUAUUUAUGUAACAUUUCCUGGAGAAUAACUAUUAUUUGGAGAAUACACACCAAUACAGCACUAUGUGUACAUUCGGAGGGUAGGUGAUUCCUUUACUCUAGUUCUAUCAAGUAUUCAUACCACUGACAGACUUUAUAUGAGUUGUUUUGACUGCAACUAAGCAUAUAUGUAAGGUCAUUUUGAUUCUGUACACAGUCAUACCUAAUUAUAAACAGUAAUAACCAUAGGUGAGUAUAUAAGGUGCUCCAUCUCUGCAGGUGAUAUAUUUAUCUGGUCAAAAUCACUAAUACAGGUCACCCUUCACCCUCUGAUGAUAUGUAGAACUUAAUAUUAUGUCUCCAUAGUAUUCUGGAUUAAAAUACACUCUGAAUCUACAGAGAAAAGUCUGAGUUCUGUAAUUGCAGUUCUAUCAAGUAUUUAUAUGAGUUUUAUAUGCACAAAAAGAAGGUCAUUCUCCUUUUGUGCACAGUCAUUUGAUACGUGAUAUAGAAAAGUACAAACUUAGUACAUGGGGAGCUAUAUCUCUGCAGAUGAUCUGUCUGUCUGGUUACAAUCGCUGAUACAGGUCCCCAUCCAAACCUCUGGUGGUAAGGAUAACUUGUUCUUACGCCUCCAGAGAAACCUAGAUUCAAAUAAAUGUCCUGUUCAUCCAAUUACUAUAGGUGGAAUUAUGUGUGGGUUAUUAUGUGUCCAUAUUGAUACAGGAACACUUAACAAUGAUUUAGAUGUAUUGAGAACAAGCUGACUGACAAAGUCACGAUGAUGCUGUCUACACAUAAUGCACAAACAGGGCCGAUGGAGAAAUGUUGUUUUUCAUCACAAAAGGGGCGGCUCUUGUAAUGCGCUCCAGCAUUCAACACAGUUUUUUCCUACCUGGAAAUUGAGACCCGACAUACUAUUCCUUGCAAAGACUGAGGGGAAGUGUGAGGUGAGUUUUGCACUCUUUCAUGGAGAAAGAUUUGGGACCGGUAUGUUCACAAUAUGAAAAGGGUGAAGGAGACAAGGAGUGGGGCUGCCUCUGGUGUGUCCCCUACCGAUUUUCAGACAACUGGAUUGGCUUCGUGUUCACGGGAGACAUCGUCAGACAGACACAGACGCAAAUAUGCCAGAAACGGUAUGUACUCGUCAUGCAACCGAGUCCUUUUGUAUAGUCAGUGUGUGUGUUUGUGACCUUAUGUUUAGCAGACAUAGUUAGAACAUGUGAAAUCAGUUAUUUUCUGGAUGUGAGAAAUUGUGUGUUAUCAUAAUGAAUACCAGGCUAGUUCAAACAUCAGAAAACAGACAGUGUGUUGUGUUAUCUAGAUUGAGAUGUUGAUGAAAUCAGUUAUUUGGGGUAAACAUUUUAACUCAAAGGUGCCAAUGGAGAUGUUUUAAGAUUGCUUACAAUGUAUUCUAAUACAUUCGCCAUCUUCUUGUCGGUGUUGGAGGGAGUGGUGUGUUGGACAGUCCAGAGACGGAGCUGAGCCCUGAGGGCCCAUCUACAGAUCCAAUGGCCGGAAGAGGAAGGCAACGGAGGAUCCUUUGGACACUGACAUUAUGCAGUGGGUAGAUGACUUA